UAGAGUUUGAUCCUGGCUCAGGAAGUCGUAACAAGGUAACCAGAGUUCGAUCCUGGCUAGAGUUUGAUCAUGGCUCAGUAAGUCGUAACAAGGUAGCCAAUCGAAUUCCCGCGGCCGCUCAUGGNGUCUAGNUUAUNGAGAAGGGNUNACUACAUUUNAACCUUUAGGUNAUACNGUANUAGCAAUCNGGAGACNGUUGUUUUAACACCUUCGGNCCNGANNNNAAAGGAUGAGCCCAAGUGGGAUUAGGUAGUUGGUGAGGUAAAGGCUCACCAAGCCGACGAUCUCUAGCUGGUCUGAGAGGAUGACCAGCCACACUGGGACUGAGACACGGCCCAGACUCCUACGGGAGGCAGCAGUGGGGAAUAUUGCGCAAUGGGGGCAACCUUGACGCAGCCAUGCCGCGUGAAUGAAGAAGGCCUUCGGGUUGUAAAGUUCUUUCGGUAGCGAGGAAAGGCAUUUAGUUUAAUAAACUGGAUGAUUGACGUUAACUACAGAAGAAGC
Molecule: ribosomal RNA, 504 nt
Filed under: uncultured bacterium
Lineage: Bacteria
Description: partial 16S ribosomal RNA
Rfam family: Bacterial small subunit ribosomal RNA (bases 52-504)
Source: RNAcentral